GGAGAGGUGGCCGAGCGGUUUAAGGCACAGUCCUGGAAAGACUGCAUACGGGAAACCGUAUCGAGAGUUCGAAUCUCUCCCUCUCCGCCA
RNAcentral lists this transfer RNA (90 nucleotides) under Elusimicrobiaceae bacterium. RNAcentral describes it as "tRNA-Ser". It matches the Rfam family "tRNA". Rfam says of the family: Transfer RNA (tRNA) molecules are approximately 80 nucleotides in length. Their secondary structure includes four short double-helical elements and three loops (D, anti-codon, and T loops). The record is from RNAcentral. RNAcentral also lists the same sequence under 4 other names. Lineage: Bacteria; Pseudomonadati; Elusimicrobiota; Elusimicrobia; Elusimicrobiales; Elusimicrobiaceae.